RNAcentral lists this transfer RNA (82 nucleotides) under Hippoglossus stenolepis (Pacific halibut). RNAcentral's name for it is "tRNA-Ser". It matches the Rfam family "tRNA". Rfam says of the family: Transfer RNA (tRNA) molecules are approximately 80 nucleotides in length. Their secondary structure includes four short double-helical elements and three loops (D, anti-codon, and T loops). Further hydrogen bonds mediate the characteristic L-shaped molecular structure. tRNAs have two regions of fundamental functional importance: the anti-codon, which is responsible for specific mRNA codon recognition, and the 3' end, to which the tRNAs corresponding amino acid is attached (by aminoacyl-tRNA synthetases). tRNAs cope with the degeneracy of the genetic code in two manners: having more than one tRNA (with a specific anti-codon) for a particular amino acid; and 'wobble' base-pairing, i.e. permitting non-standard base-pairing at the 3rd anti-codon position. The record is from RNAcentral. Lineage: Eukaryota; Metazoa; Chordata; Actinopteri; Pleuronectiformes; Pleuronectidae.
GACGAGGUGGCAGAGUGGUUAAGGCGAUGUACUGCUAAUACAUUGAUCUGCACGUGUGCUGGAUCGAAUUCCAUCCUCAUUG